UACGGAGGAUGCGAGCGUUAUCCGGAUUUAUUGGGUUUAAAGGGUGCGUAGGCGGGCAUUUAAGCCGGCGGUCAAAUGUCGGGGCUCAACCCCGGCCUGCCGUCGGAACUGGGGGCCUUGAGUGCGGCGGAGGCAUGCGGAAUGCGCGGUGUAGCGGUGAAAUGCAUAGAUAUCGCGCAGAACUCCGAUUGCGAAGGCAGCAUACCGGCGCCCAACUGACGCUGAAGCACGAAAGCGUGGGUAUCGAACAGG
Molecule: ribosomal RNA, 252 nt
Filed under: uncultured Bacteroidales bacterium
Lineage: Bacteria; Pseudomonadati; Bacteroidota; Bacteroidia; Bacteroidales
Description: partial 16S ribosomal RNA
Rfam family: Bacterial small subunit ribosomal RNA
Source: RNAcentral